This 830-nucleotide ribosomal RNA is filed under the name Shewanella sp. GIT-20. RNAcentral's name for it is "partial 16S ribosomal RNA". It matches the Rfam family "Bacterial small subunit ribosomal RNA", at positions 41 to 940 of the family's 1533-position model. Lineage: Bacteria; Pseudomonadati; Pseudomonadota; Gammaproteobacteria; Alteromonadales; Shewanellaceae. The record is from RNAcentral.
GGAAAGCUCCCACAGCAUUUCGAGCGGAACAGCCAAUUAGCUUGCUAAUUUGCUGACGAGCGGCGGACGGGUGAGUAAUGCUAGGAACUGCCCAGUCGAGGGGGAUAACAGUUGGAAACGACUGCUAAUACCGCAUACGCCCUACGGGGGAAAAGAGGGGACCUUCGGGCCUUCUGCGAUUGGAUGUACCUAGGUGGGAUUAGCUAGUUGGUGAGGUAAUGGCUCACCAAGGCGACGAUCCCUAGCUGUUCUGAGAGGAUGAUCAGCCACACUGGGACUGAGACACGGCCCAGACUCCUACGGGAGGCAGCAGUGGGGAAUAUUGCACAAUGGGCGCAAGCCUGAUGCAGCCAUGCCGCGUGUGUGAAGAAGCCUUCGGGUUGUAAAGCACUUUCAGCGAGGAGGAAAGCUUAAGCGUUAAUAGCGUUUAGUGUGACGUUCUCGCAAAAAAAGACCGGCUUACUUUUGCCAGCAAGCCGGGUAAUCCAGGGCCAAGCGUUAAUCGGAAUUACUGGCGGUAAGCGUACCCAGCGGGUUGUAAGCAAGAUGUGAAACCCCGGCUUAACCUGGGAAUUGAUUUAACUGCAACUAAAUUGGAAGGGGGGGAAAUUUAAGUGUGGGAAAGCUAAAAUUUAAAGAAACCCGGGAAGGGGGCCCCUGGCAAAAUGACCUUAGGUCCAAAAGGGGGGGGAAAAGGAUAAAACCCUGGGCCCCCCGAAAAAAGGAACGGAAUUUGGGGUUUAAACUGGGUCCAAAACCCAUAAAAAACCCCGGGGACCCGGCCAGGGUAAAAAAAAAAAAAAAAGGGGCCCCCAAAGGGGGGUUGGUUU